RNAcentral lists this long non-coding RNA (485 nucleotides) under Physcomitrium patens. RNAcentral describes it as "long non-coding RNA (PPAT_LNC009231)". Lineage: Eukaryota; Viridiplantae; Streptophyta; Bryopsida; Funariales; Funariaceae. The record is from RNAcentral.
AGAAUUAGGGUUAAAAGAGAAGAUAGGUUAAGAAAUGAAAAGAGGGGAGAAUUAGGGUUAAAAGGGAGGAUAGGUUAAGAAAUUAAGUGGAAAGAAUCAGGGUUUUAAGGGGUUGAGAGCUAGCUUCAUGCUUCGGGAGAAAAAAAGAUAGAGAAUUGGGAUUUUUUUCUCUUCAUAGGAUUUUGGGAAGAUUGAGGCAAUCGUUGCUGAAAGUCAGUGUUUACAGGUGAAUCGAGGUUUUAAUAAAGUGGAUGUGAUUAUUCUUGACUGUUUUGUAAAAUCAAAGUUACGUCUCUGAUUGAAGAAUUAAAAGGGUGUCUAUAGGAUUGAGUAUGCGGAGUGAAUGAAAAUUUUUGGGUUAAUCUCAUAAGACAGUCAGUAGAUACAAGGUCGUGAGUAUAAAGCAGUAUCGGAGUUUAGCAGAUUGCAUUGUUCGGGGUUCUGUGUAACGUCUAGAGACCUAUCGGCUGGGGCAAAAAGGAUUU